UUACAUGCAGCUGUGCUCCGAAGAGGGACUCAGCUCAGAAUGGCCCACAGCUCACACCUGCCUUCCUGUGACCCAGUUCACACCUCCUCCCAGAGAGAAAAAAGGGAGAGGGAGAGAGAAAAACAUCAAGCAGCUGCCUCCCACACAUCCCUCACCAGCAAUUGAGCCCACAACCCAGGCAUGUGCCCUGACCAGGACUCAACCCUUCAAAGAAUGGAAUGACACCCAACCAACUGCACCACGCUGGCCGGCUCCUCUGCUUUUCAGUAAAGGAUUUAAACAAUGUA
Long non-coding RNA from Eptesicus fuscus (big brown bat), 287 nucleotides. RefSeq lists it as uncharacterized. The transcript is spliced from 2 exons. The record is from RefSeq and is a predicted model, not a curated record. Lineage: Eukaryota; Metazoa; Chordata; Mammalia; Chiroptera; Vespertilionidae.